RNAcentral lists this ribosomal RNA (849 nucleotides) under uncultured bacterium. RNAcentral's name for it is "bacterial SSU rRNA". It matches the Rfam family "Bacterial small subunit ribosomal RNA", at positions 28 to 896 of the family's 1533-position model. The record is from RNAcentral.
AACGAACGCUGGCGGCGUGCUUAACACAUGCAAGUCGAGUGCGCGGUUGUAGCAAUACAACUGGCGCACGGCGCACGGGUGCGUAACACGUGGGUAACCUGCCCUUUGGUGGGGAAUAACUCCGCGAAAGCGGAGCUAAUUCCGCAUAAGAUCCGCAAGGAUGAAAGCCGCAAGGCGCCGAAGGAGGGGCCCGCGCCCGAUUAGCUAGUUGGUGAGGUAAUGGCUCACCAAGGCUUUGAUCGGUAGCUGGUCUGAGAGGAUGAUCAGCCACACUGGAACUGAGACACGGUCCAGACUCCUACGGGAGGCAGCAGUGGGGAAUCUUGCACAAUGGGCGAAAGCCUGAUGCAGCGACGCCGCGUGGGGGAUGAAGCAUUUCGGUGUGUAAACCCCUUUCGAUCCGGACGAAACCCCGCAAGGGAUUGACGGUACGGAUAUAAGAAGCCCCGGCUAACUACGUGCCAGCAGCCGCGGUAAGACGUAGGGGGCCAGCGUUGUUCGGAAUUACUGGGUGUAAAGGGUUCGUAGGCGGUGCGGCAAGUUGGGAGUGAAAUCUCUGGGCUUAACCCAGAGGCUGCUUCCAAAACUGCUGUGCUUGAGUGUGGGAGAGGCGCGUGGAAUUGCAGGUGUAGCGGUGAAAUGCGUAGAUGUCUGCAGGAACACCCGUGGCGAAAGCGGCGCGCUGGACCACUACUGACGCUGAGGAACGAAAGCUAGGGGAGCAAACAGGAUUAGAUACCCUGGUAGUCCUAGCCCUAAACGAUCAGGACUUGGGGUGCCACCCGUUCGGGUGUCGUCCCGGAGCUAACGCGUUAAGUCCUGCACCUGGGGAGUACGGUCGCAAGACUG